Molecule: long non-coding RNA, 19328 nt
Filed under: Marmota monax (woodchuck)
Lineage: Eukaryota; Metazoa; Chordata; Mammalia; Rodentia; Sciuridae
Rfam family: tRNA (bases 4164-4230)
Source: RNAcentral
GGUGGUUCUAUAUCAGAGACCAUAUGUCAUCAUGGAAUCAUCCCAGAAUUUUCCAUAAAGAAAAUAUAUGGCUCACAUGAAGUCUGAGUUCUUUGGUUUGUAUUGCUGAUGGGGCCACAUUUUUAAUUUUUUUAUUUUCGAAGCUAUUGAUGUUCUCCUUUUGGAGGAGAAUGGAGAUGGCAUUGAUCUGGCAUGAUCAAUUUUUCACAACCCCUAGGUGUGAGAGAGUUUUUAGAUGUUUCCUGUUUGGGCUUUGAUCUGUAGAGAAAGGCUAUUUAUAAACCAGACUUCAGCAGCAACCUUGUGAGGUCUCCUUUGUCCCUUUCAUGUGAACUUCGAUGACUUCAUAUUAGUCCCUAACCUCCAUUUACUGAAGUACUUGGCCGAGCCAUCUGACUCAUCACCCUGUACAAGGACAGUGUGACUCACACCAAUAAGCCGGAAGCAGGCCUGAAUUGAGGCAAGGCCAGAGUCAGGACACAACUAAUAGAUGCUGGAAGUGUUGACGGAAACCACUCUUGCAGAGGAACAAUGCGGGCUGAGCUUCAGUUGCCGGCUAUGACAUCAUGACCGAGAGGUGAGCACUCCCUUGCAUCAGAUAUUUUAAUUGUUUGCUUUAUAAUUUUCUUUCAAAAAUCCUGUUAACUGCUCAUGCUUAGAUGCUAGCAGUUCAAUGAUACUUGUUUGAAGAAUUCUGCCAGGAUUAGGGUUAUAAUCUCAAAUCCCCUUCCUUGCAUUCUUUCUUAGUCCCUCCCUCCCUCCCUCCCUCCCUCCCUCUUUCUCUCUCUUCCUCCCUCCCUUUUUUCUUGCCUCCCUUCUUGCUUCUUUCUUUCCAUCAGGGUGUCACAGUGAACGAGCUUGAGUUUGAGUCAGGCAGUUAGUUAUUAUCUAGAAUCUUGAUUGACUUGGCCAUUUUCUUCUGAAUCACUUUAACCUCUCUGAGGCUCGGUUUCCUACCUGUUAAAAGGCAGAUAAUACAUCACAGUGUUGUAGGGAGGCUUAAGUAAUGUCUUAUGGAUAGCUACUAUUUAUUAAACACCAAAUAGAUGCAUUAUCUAAAGUAGUCUUCACAGUAACUUUUCAAGAAAAGUGUGUGGUACAUGGUGGGUGACAUAAAUAACAAGGUGGGGAUCAUCAUACCUUUCACCUCCACAGUUGCUGCUACCAAAGUGAAACAUGUCAGUCACUCACAUAGUCAUUCAACAUGCAUUCCUUGAGAAACUUCUAUGUACCAGGUAAUGUAGAUUACUCAAGGGAAAAAUGAAAGGCCAAGAAUAAGGAAAAAUUACUAACUUUGAAGGGUUAUAAUUAGCAGAGAUUAGAAAUAAACACAAUCAAAACUGUGAAGAGUCCUGUGAGAAUAAGAAAUGCAGACUGGGUGUGGUAGGAUGGGCCCUGGAUUCCAAUUUGGGAAGUUGAAAGAGGGUUCCCUGCAGGAAAAAUCACACAUUCACACUGAAAAAGGAAGGAUAAAUAAAUGGGAAUUAGAGGUUAGAGUGUGUUCUAGAGAACUGUAUUUGCAAAAAGGUAUUGGGUUGAGAGGGGCUUCGACUCAGGAGAGAAAUCAAAAGUAGUUCUUUCUGGAAUUUGAAGCGGUGAAUGAUGAGAGUAGAAGCUAGUGAUACGCAGGACUUCCUGGUCACAGGAGGGUUAGGGACUCGUCUCAGGGAUGCCCUGUAGCUGUUACUGAGUUCUCAGUCUCUGUCCCUUAUCUUAGUUUGGGGACAAGAGCCCUACUGUGCUGCUGACCACCUGAACCUCUGAUAUGAGUGGGCAGAGGGUGAUGUGGCUAACCCCACCCUUGUGUAAUCUCUUGCCUGUGUUCUUGGUUCUGAGAGACAAAGGCGUCUCUUGCUAGUUACGGGGCUGGAUGCUGUGGGUCAGUUGGCUCUCUCUAUCGUCCCUACCCUAAUCUUGAGAAGUACUGAGCUAUGGCUCCACGAGGUUCUCAUUCAGGCUCCUUGUAGCCAGCACUGUACAGUCAGGAGUGCCCUCAGAGCAAGCUUCAGAAUCUGUCAGCUCUCACACCACAUGGCCUUCGGGAAUCUCCAUGCCAUUAGAAAACCUGAGCAAGCCAGACUCUGUGACGUGAUAGCCUAAUUACCAUUUCCCUUUUUUUUGGGAGUGGAGAGAGAAAUGACAUAUAGAUCAAUGAGUGAGGUGGAAGACUGAUUCAUUUAUUGACUCACAGAGAGUUUUUCCUUGAGCCAGUGCAACAGAAAGGACCAUCCUUGUAGCUGGGUCUGCCCUGGAGUGUUGAGAAGUCUGAACUGUGCCCAAGGCUCAGAGACAGAAAAACAAAGAGGAUGUUUAGCAACACGUCCCUCCAUGCUCACCUUGCUCUUGUGCAGGCAGUCCAGAGAUAAUUAACUCUGAGGAAGGUGACCCUAUAUUCAUUGUCCAUGUGCAGACAUUUUAAGAGUGAAAGGGGCUGCUUUUAAUUGGUAUAUUGGGAUGCCAGGCAUAAACGGGGAAUAUUGUAGGCCAACCAGACAUAUGGUUGUCCUAACCACAUGAUUACCUAGUAGUCAUUGGCCUGAUGACUACUCCCUAGUUGGUGCUCUCUGUGCUUAAGGAGAGAUCCUAGGGCCAAGAUGUUUCUGGAUCUUUUUUCUGCAUCUAUUUUUUUUUUCUACAUUCUCAAAGGCAGUUUUUGGAACAUUCUUCAUUUUUUUGAGAUCCUUAUGUUUCUGAGAGGUCAGUGUUAGCCAAUUUAAUCCAAGACAACUGAUUUCUAUUCAAAGCAGAGGAAGGGAGUGGUUAAAAUGGACAGUUUGAAGGGAAGAUAAUUUCGAAAAGGACAACUUCAGCUGUAUCUUCAGGCUCCUUAUAAUCCUUUGGUAAUUAGAAUGUGCAGGCUGAGACAUCAAUUUUAAAAUCAUCUUACCCAUAAAUCAUCUAUCACACAUUAUUAGCUCGGAUGACACAAGUCUACAUGAGUGGGGAUCAUUAUUUUUGUUAUUAUUGUUUGUCCAGAGGGGUGACAAGGAAAAAUAUACAUCACACUCACCUCCCAGACAAGAGUUAAGCAGGUGCUUUUUUGAUUUAUAAGGUGUUUCCUUCUAAACAUAUUUCUUAGUAAAACAAUUUUUAAAAUGUCAUUUUCCCAUGAAGCCAACACCAUCACUGAUGUAGUAUUUUCCUGCACCUCAAAUUAAGCAGGCCGUGGGAGAAUUUGGUGACCAAGUGUCACUGUCACUUAGCAUUUCUCUCUCCAUUACAGUGUAAUAUAAUAUAGUGUAGUAUCGUAUCGUAUCAUAUCAUAUCAUAACAUUUUUAGCAUUCUGUAGCAGAGACUCUCAGUUUAGGGUGGUUUUGCUAUCAGUGGACUUUGAUCAUGUUCCACACGGUUUUGCUCGCUCCCACAGGGGUGGGUGCUAUUUGCAUCUAGUUCUUAGGAGCCAGUGAUAUUGCUAAACAUAUUAGAAAGACACAGGACAGCUCCCCUCGCAAACAAAUUAGUUACCUGGACAUAAAUGUCAAUAAUGCUGAACUUGAGAAACUCCUCUGUAACAUCUUAAUCCUUAAUUUAUUCAUCCAACCAUUAUUUACUGAGAACCCACUAUGUUCCAGUCGUUAGAAAGCUGAGGAUAUUGGGGUGAACAAAACUGGAGAAAAAGUUUUCACUUUUGUUUUUCUUUGGAUUCUAAUAGGAGGAGCAGGUAAGAAAGAAGAUAAAUAACUAAAAUAUUGAGCAUAUCAGAAAGUUAUGUGUAGAAGGCAAAAUAAAAAAUAUAGCUGAGCAGUGGGGAGGGAAUGUCAGUAGAGAACAGUGAGAUUGAAGGCUGAGGUCACUAGCCAAGGUAAGUGCAUUUCUCACUGAUUGCAGAUGAAGGAUCUGAGUGAAGGACUGAGAGAUAAGGCUAGGACUCCAGGUUGGAAGUUUCUGACUCUUUGGUGAUCUAAAAUGUUAUUUCCACUAGGCUGUUUUAUAUAUUAUUGCCAAAAGCCAGGGUUGUCCUUGCUUCCUUUUGAUGAAUUUCCUCUUUCUUAACUCACUGAUAACCACCUCCAGCCCUACCCAAAGCCUUCAUUUCUAGCAUCUAUGCUUUUGUUGCUCAGAACAUUUCUGGACUGUAUCCUCGUCCUAGACUCAUUACCAUCAUUAAAUGCACUCAACUCAAUGCUCUCUUCUGUUGAAACAAGAAAAACAAAAUAGAGCUGGGGAUGUAGCUCAAUGGUAGAGCACAACCCAGCAUGUUGUGGCUCUGGAUUCUAUCUCCAUCCCUGAAAAAAAAAAAAAAGACAACAAUAACAACAACAACAAAACAUAAAAAUGAAAAGAAAAAGUCCCAAAGCCCCAAUCUUAACCCUAAAUGCUGCUCUGGCCUCAUUUCUCCUUCCUUUCAUAGGUAAGUAUAAAAAGAUGCUCCAACACAUCGCAUGAAAAAAUGCUCAACAUCUCUAGCAAUUAGAGAACUGCAAAUUAAAACUACACUGAGAUUUCAUCUCACUCCAGUCAGAGUGGCAAUUAUCAAGGAUAUAAGCAACAAAAUGUUGGUGAGGAUGUGGGAAAAAGGCACACUCAUACAUUGCUGGUGGGACUGCAAAUUGGUGCAACCACUAUGGAGAACAGUAUGGAGAUUCCUCAGAAAACUUGGAAUGAAACCACCAUUUGACCCAGUCAUCCCACUCCAUGGCCUAUACCCAAAGGACGUAAAAUCAGCAUACUAUAGUGAUGUAGCCACAUCAAUGUUUAUAGCAGCGUAAUUCACAAUAGCUAAACUAUGGAACCAACCUAGGUGCCCUUCAACAGAUGAAUGGAUAAAGAAAAUGUGGCAUAUAUACACAAUGGAAUAUUGCUUAACCUUAAAGAAGAAUGAAGUUAUGGCAUUUGCUGGUAAAUGAACGGAAUUGGAGAAUAUUAUGCUAAGUGAAAUAAGUCAAUCCCAAAAAACAAAACGCAGAAUGUUUUCUCUGAUAUGCAGACGCUAACAGUAAGGAAGGCGGUAGGGAAAAAUAGAAGUAUUUGGAUUAGACAAAUGGGAAUGAGGAGAAGGGAGGGGAAAUGGGAACAGGUAAUGUAGUAGAAUGAAUUGUACCUUGCUAUCCUAUGUGUGCAUAUGAUCACACGACCAAUGUAAUUCUACAUCAUGUACAAUCAGAAGAAUGAGUUAUACUCUAUGAUUGUAUAUGUCAAAAUACAUCCUACUGUCCUGUAUAACCAAUAAGGACUAAUAAAAAAGAAAUAUUCUCCAUAUGUGCUUUCUCCAUUCUUUACAUUCCCCAAUUGACUUGUAACGUCCGUUGAGGUCACCAAGGACCCCAUGAACUCCACCUGUGCAGGCUGUUUAAUCGGUGGCUCUUUCUUCCUAGGUCCCUGGCCACAGCGAUUUCUGCCCAGGCCCAUUCUCUAUUUGUAUCUCACCUGCUUCCUCUCCCUUGACUUCCAUCUCGUAGCUCUCUGGGGUUUCUGUCUUCCUCUGACUUCUCCUUCCAGGGAACCUUCAUGGGUUCCUCUAUCAUUCCUUGACUCACAGGUGUCCCCCAGCAUCCUGUCCUCUGCUUUCUUUUCUCAUCAACUGCGGCUUGUACAAAAGUUUUGUUUAGAGAAAUCCGAAGCCCUGUGACAUAGUUUGUCAUUUGCCUAGACACGGGUGUGAUGUGUGGGCAUGAGGACCAUCUCUGAGGGGAAUGCAGCAAAGUAUCCACUAUUUUCUCCCUUUACAGCUCAGGACCCUGCUCAGGGUCCACAAUGCUACCCUCAGCUGGAUGCUUGCCAGAGCACAGCAAGAGGAUGGUAAGAGCUCUCUAAUGGGUCUCUGUCGUCCCAAUUGUAGCUCCUUCCUUUGCUCUUGAACCUGGUCAUGACCCAGAUUCCACCCCUUCAUCUUUCAUGACACAGCCCCCCUCCACUCAUGUUUUCAUGCUACUGCUCAGUUCCCUAUCUGCCUGCACUUCCUCCCCUCCCCACCCCUGCUCCACACAGUUGACCUUGGGAAGUCCUUCUCAUUCUGCAAGGCUUACCUCAAACAUCACUUUUGUGUCCCUUUCUAGAUUUCUAGAAAAAAAUUUUUAUCUCAUAUAUAUACUCCCAUGCCACCCACAUCCAAUUAGGUUGUACAUUCCUUUAGGGCAUAUAGAGGAAGACUCAAGAGCAAAGUUUCUGUCCCCAAGAAAGCUGAUCCAUGAAGCAAGUAUUCACUGUUUUCUCAUUUUAUAGCUUCCAUGAUGCUCCAAAAUCCAAAUUUUAAAAUGUCUGAUACUAACUUGCUGUGUGACUCUGUAUGUUUCACUUAAUGUCUCUGAGCUAUAAUUUUAUCAAACCAUAUUCUGGCAAAUAAUAUUCUCAUUCUAACUCAAAGAAAUAUAUAAAAUUCUUUGAGUGUUUGGCAAAAAGAUGCCAUAAACCAAAGACAAAAUACAUGAUCAUUCACUGAAGAUUCUAUGUAACAUUUUUUAUUGUCAGACAUUUUGUUCAGAUCCCAACAAAGUGUAACUGUUUCCAAAGAAAAAUGUGACCUCUAUGUAUCUUUAAAAUUUGAAGCCACUCAUAACAUAACAAAACUUUGCCACAUAAUUUUUUUUUCUUGUGCGUGAGAUAGUCACUCAUCUUUUUCUUCCCUUUGUUCCUAAUUUUUUUAAAAAAAACUGAAGAUUUGCCUUUUACUUCCUUUCCCUUUCUUUCCCCCCUAAAGGGAAAGCAUUUCAUGUCAGAGGCAGAAGUAGAUAAAAUUAUGUGCUAGAUCUUGAUCUAAAUUUCUCUUAAAUCACCAGCAGCACUGUCACAGCCUGAAGAAAAGAAAGUGAAGCAAUGAUGACGGAGGAGUUUGAAGAAAAAAAGAUGUAAAGACGAAUGCUGGCUAACUUCAUUUACUUCAUUGUUCUAAAUUUUAGGACUCAAAUUAAUUUCUAGAAUAUUUUGGUGAAAUGGGAAAAUGUAAAUGUGUGCCAGUGAAUAAUUGUAAAAGAAAAUAACACAAGGGGUGGAAUUUUCUAUCAGAAUCUCACAAAAGUGGGCACUUUUGUUUCCUAGGGAAAACAUCCAUGAAACUAGCUUCAUCCAUGGAGAGAGAGAGAGAGAGAGAGAGAGAGAGAGAGAGAGAGAGAGAGAGAGAGAGAAAGAGAGAGAGAGAGAGAAUAUAGAUUUACUGAUUGCAUACCUGUGCUAUGUGUUCAUCUAACUUACUUCAUUUAAUAGUUUAGUUCAAUAGCUCUAUGAAGCUUAUUUUUUGUGCAAAACCAGCUAGAGUUCACUGCAGUUAGUGGUAAGUAGAGUCAAAUGAGGAACCUAUGGUUUUCUGGCUUCAACACCAUACCACAUUGAUGUCUUAUCAUAUAGAAAAUAAGUGUCAUGGCCUUAUGCAAUUUAUAAUCCAGAAAAGAAAUCCAAAUGUCUCUGUAAGAUGCAGAGGUGGUGCCACAUAUUUUCCUUUAAAUACUAUAAAAUAACUCCAUGUAUACAGUUAUGAACAGUCAGCCACACUGUUGGGAGGACAUUGUUUUGUUUCCCCUGGGCGGUGAUGUAAAAAUGGAGAUGCUACUUUGCUAACUUUUUUUUUUUUUCCAGCAGACAGUGUAACAUGUCACACGGAUUCAACCUCUUCACUCGCUGUGCAAAUUUGGUAAGAUAUUUUAUUUAUCUUAGGCUCAGUUUCCAUUUGCAAAUAUGAGACAAUGAUCUUUUCCUUGUAGGCCUGCUCUAAGAACUUAAGAGUUACUUGGAUUGUGCGUAGUCCUCAAAAAAAGGGUGGUUGUGAUGGUUUGUGGCAGUCAUUAUUGACAUGUAUUUCCAUGCAUUUGGAGAACUUUGAUGGGAGAUCUGACUGUGACCCUUAAUGGGGCUUCUUCUAUAUUCACUGACCAAUGUUGCUUGUUAUGGUUUGGAUCUAGAAGUGUCCCCCAAAAGCUAUGUGCUAGGAAACAGAUCCGUGUUCAGAGGUGAAAAGAUUGGGGAAUGAGGCCUAUAACUUCAUCAGUGGAUUAAUCAACUUGAUGGAUUAGUGAUUUGAAUGAACUACAGGGUGAUAACUGUAGGCAGGUGGGAAUGGAAAGAAAUAGGUCACUGGGGGCGUGCCUUUAGGCACUAUAUCUUGUCCCUGGCUCUGCAUGCUCUCUCUCUCUCUCUCUCACUCUCUUUCUCUCUCUCCUUCCUGAGUGCCAUGAACUGAGCAGUUUUUGGCCUCUACCACCCACUUCCACCAUGAUGUUCUGCCUCACCUCAAACCCAGAACAAUGAAGAUGACUGACCAAGGGCUGAAUCUCUGAAACAGUAAGCCAAAAUGAUAUUUUUCCUUUUCUAAAUUGAUCUUUUGUUGUUGUUGUUGGUACUGGAAAUUAAAUUCAGGGGUGUUCAACCACUAAGCCACAUUCCUAUCCCUAUUUUGUAUUUUACUUAGAGACAGGGUCUCAAUGAGUUGUUUAGAGCCUCACUUUUGCUAAGGCUGGCUUUGAAUUUGUAAUCCUCCUGCCUCAGCCUUCUGAGUUGCUGAGAUUACAGGUGUGCACCAUGGUGCCUGAACUAAGAUGUUCUUGUCAGGUAUUUUGGUCACAGUAAUGUAAAGCUGACUAACAGAGUGCUGGGCCGCAUGAUGUGUGCACCAAAGUGCUAAGUAAUUGGGUAUGUAUAGAACAGAUAGCAGGGAGGGGAGAUAAUGGAAAGAAGGAACCAAGAGUUCUUCUAAAAGAACAGCUCGCCAUUGGUAUUUGCUGGCUCUGUAUCUGUAGAUUCAACCAACUGCAGACCAAAAAUAUUGAAAGAAAAAUUGUGUUUGACUGAACAUGUACAGAUUUUCCUUUUCAUUAUUCCCUAGACAAUGAAGUAUAACAACUAUUCACAUAACAUAUACAUUAUGUUAGAUAUUAUAAGUAAUCUGUGCAGAUUAUAUGCAAAUGCUGUUCCAUUUUACAUAAAGGACUUGAAUAUUGGGAUCCUGGAACCAAUCUACCUGAUACCAAGGAGCAAUGACCUUUGCAAAAUCAAGCCAAGGAAAUGGCAGGGAUCUAUGGAAAGGAAAUGGGAAGGGGCUGGCAUGAGACCUGAAUUGUUUUUUUUUUUUUUUUUUUUCUUCUCUUAAUUGAAUAAUUCCUGGACUACUGGUCACAGAAUUCUCCUUCUGGGGAAUUCUCUUUCAAAGAACUCGCCUUACAAACACAAAUUACAAAAUAAUGGCAUAUGUUUUCUCUCCCUUAUUUCAUUCUUUAAUGUAAUACCUUUAAAGAAGAAGCUGUUUCACGUAAACCUGAUUAACUCUGAAGAGAGUGAUAAUCCAUCCAAACCAAUCCAAAUGAAGGUAAAAGGAAUAAUCAGGCUUCCAUUAUGCAAAAUGGUGCUCAGUUAAUUUAGUACAUUGCGCUGAAUAAUAAGCUGUUAGGCUCCACAUGGCUUUUUUCACGUUAAAUCAAAUUGCUUAUUGCUGCUAGAGCUUAUUUCAUAUCGCAUAAAAUUUGGAUAUAUUAUAAUGGAGUAGAUAUUAGUCCAUUAUAAGAGACAGGUUUAAGUGCUUCAUUUAUAGAAUCCCUCCACUUGGAAAAUGGUAAGGGAGAAGAAGAAAUGCAAACAAGGUAAUGGACAGAGGGGAUUUAUGUACAUUGCUUGAUGGGCCAGCUCUGCCUCGGUGACUGUGGUUGCUGUGCACAGGACCCAGUGCGUUGGAGAAAAAUCAGCAUUUCUAGUGGAAAGAAAAUCCAAAGCGAAUUUAUGUUCUUUCUCAGGGAAGUGUUGACAUUUUAAUUACUUUCUGUUUUCUUUGGAGCUACAUUUGAGAAUUGGAAGCAAGUUAGAAAAAUAAGAAUUAGCUUUAUUAGAAAUAAGAGGAAUUGACAUGUAGACCCCAGUUGGAAAGGGUUGAGGCUGGGUUCUUGACAAUAUGAAGUCUGCAGCAGGACCCAGAAAGCCAAGAAAACUCAGCCGCUCGAAGCUAACUGGAAGAGUUCCUGCUUGGUCAGGGCUUAUCAUCCCGGAGAGCAGACUGUGCCUCUGUGUGCAAUCUAAUCUUUUCCGGAUGUGCUUCACUUUUUAAUGUUUUUUAUUUUUCCUUUAAACUUUCGUCUUUCUGUAAACAGGGGUUUGUGAGGGUAAGUAAGAUCGAGAUACAAAAAAAGAAAAUGGUCAGAGGGAGUUGGAAUGAGCUGGGGAAAUUGAUAGUCUUAGAAUUAAUUUGGAAGAUAAUAUAAUUGUCUUUUGAUAUUUCAUAAAAGAAAAAUAUCUGUGGAGGCGAGGGUGGAACGGAGUAAUUGGCUUUAGGAGAUAUGAUAUAUUUGCACUUUUCCUCCCUGCACCUGGAGUCGCCUGGAAUUGAUUAAAUAAGUAUUUAACAAACCAGGGCGCCUACAUGUAUGUUCCAGGAUCAGCAAUCUAAAAAUAGUAACUCAGCACAAGAUGGAAAUUAAAAACCCUCUAAUCAACAUCUUUGUGGUGCUUGAAAGGGUGGUAACCUGAGGGUGUCAGCCCUGCCUGCCCCUUGCCUGCCCCCUCCCCUCCCCUCCCCUCUUCUCUCUCUGCUCCCUCUACUGACAUUCGUUUGUCCCCCUUAUAUUAUUUUUCCCCUUCCCCUCACUUCCUCUUGUAUGUACUUUUGUAUAACUCUGAGGGUCUCCUUCCAUUUCCAUGCAUUUUCCCUUCUCUCUCCCUUUCCCUCCCACCUCUCAUCCCUGUUUAAUGUUAAUCUUCUUCUCAUGCUCUUCGGCCCUACUCUGUUCUUAGUUACUCUCCUUAUAUCAAAGAAGACAUUUGGCAUUUGUUUUUUAGGGAUUGGCUAGCUUCACUUAGCAUAAUCUGCUCUAAUGCCAUAAGCUGGAUUUUCUUGAUUCCAUUUCCUGAGGAAUUCUCAAACAUAUUCAUCAUCUUGUCCUUUGUAUUUCCUGUAAAAUUACAGUUAGAGUUGGAGAUUUUAUCUGAUUCUGGUUCCACGUUUUGGUAAUACUACUUCUUAAGUAGCGGUAUUUCCGUAAAUAGAAGUGUGUGUGUAUGUGUGUGUGUGUGUGUGUGUGUGAGAGAGAGAGAGAGAGCGAGAGAGAGAGAUUAUCAACUCUUAAAAAUUUUUAUAUGAAUCCAUUAAUUCAUUAGUUAUAAAAAUUGUUGAUAUCUUAAUUUUAUAAUUUUUUUUAAAAAAAUAUAUCUUAAUUUUAUAAUUUUUUUAAAAAACCUUUAUUUUCUAGAGCAGUUUUAGGUUCACAAGAAAUUGAAUGGAAUGUAAGUAACAUUCCCACAUAAUCCACUCCAUAUAAGCUCAUUAUCCCCCAUGACCAGCAUCACUCCCCAGAGUAGGGGCUUAUUUAUGAAAACCAAUAAACCUGUAUUGACCCAUGCUUACCACCCAGAGUUGAUAUUUUCAUUAAAGCUCACAAUUGUACAUUCUAUGUGUUUUGACAAAUAUAGAAUGAUACAUAUCCACAAAUGAUUUUCUUUUCAUUUAUUGAAUUUCCUCUAUGGGGAGAAACUUCACCCCUCAUUAACAUUUGGUUAGCUGAAGUAAAAGAAAUCCAGAUGAAUGUAUUCUCAUUAUUAUUAUUAUUUAUUCUAGCACAGUCACUAGCAGAGGAAGGGGAUACAAUACACACGUCUUCAUAAAUUGAAUUGUAUUUGAUUCAUAUUAGAAUUUGCUCCAAAGAACUUGUACAAGACAAAGGAGGACACCAUGGUAUUAACAGAGACUAGAACUUAAGUUCCAUGAAAAAGCUUAAAAAGAAUCAAAUCUCAGUAAAGGCUCUCAGUACUAAAGUGAACACGGAGGCACUAGUGAAUCACACAAUUCUGGUACGGCCCGUGGCCAAGUCUCAUCAAUAUUCACCAAAGUAUUCUUUCCCCAACACAGGGAAAGAAAGAAAGAAAGAAAAGAGGGACAAUUUCUGAAUCACUCCCUCCAACCACGGAAAUGAUUUUAAUUACCAAUUCAUCUGUUGGCAGACUCUUCUGGCAGAUGUACCUGCAAGUUGGAAAGAUAACAAAUGAACCAAUUCCUUACUCCAGAGUUGACACUGAUAGUUCGGACUGAAUUUGCUCUCAGAAAAGAAUCCUGGGCAACAAUACAUCUGGCACUCUGCUCGAGGAAUUUGUCAUGUCGUUGACAUGUUCAGCCUCCAUUGUCCAUACCACCCCGGCAGCAGGUCCUUUAUGUUUCAGUGAAAUUGCAGUCUGAAUUAAUAUAAUUAGAAUGUAACUGCUAUUCACUGCACACACACUCCUUAUUUCCAGGAGUACAGAUCUGAUAGCAUGUCUGUGCUCAAAAUCUUUCCAUGAUGGCUGAAGGGGAGCAAGCAGAGAGGGGAAUGAUAGAACACUCACUAGUUCAUCAACCGUAUGAGCUAAUGGAAAUAUAGGAGGAGAGAAAGAAAGUCCUGACCUUGGCAUGUCUAAAGAUAAAUAUCUGUCAAGUUUCCUAGCCUGGAUAGCACUGUUAUAAAAUAUGUACUAUAGUCCGUCUGAAUUGAGAGAAAGAAGUGAACUAGGAAAGACCAGUUAUCUUCCAAAAGACAAUUAUAGUAAGUAGAGUGGAUAAUUCAGGGAUAGAAUUACAGAGUGAAGAGGUGGAUGGACAACUUCCUUCUUUCUUUCAUGUUUUGCUUUGCGCAGUGGAUGUCGCUCACCAAGCAACUGUCAUCAAGUGAAUAAUGAUUUUUUUUUUUACUAGAAUCUUGAAUUUCAGCCUUCAUUAAUUUUCUGUUCUUACAAAUUCUUGAUAUGGUAGAAAAGGACAUCAACAACUUUUUUUUUUUUAAAUAAGAUGGACUCACAUUUUCUUAAUUGAGUUUGAGUUUUCACUUGGAUGAUCCAUUGGAGGGGAGCACUGCCCUGACAUUAUCAGUAUGUUGGCUGGAGUUCAUGGUUUUGGCCUCUUUUCUUCUCUGGAGAACUGUGAAACUUGUGUACUGGAUGCUGUGUUCCUCCAAAUUCUACAUGGAAUCCCUAACCUCCUGUAUGAUGGUAUUUGGAGGUAGGGACCUUGGGGAAACCAUUGGAUUUGAAUGAGGCCAUGAGGAUAGGCCCCCAUGAUGAAAUGUGUGUCCUUAUAAGAAGAGGAAAAAGAGAUCAGAUUGCUAUCUCUGUCCCCCUCCACCAAAUGAGAAUACAGCUAGAAUGCAACUGUCUGCAAUCCAGGAAGACAGACCUAACAAAGGACAUCAACUGACUUGUACCUUGAUCUAGGAUUUCCCUGCCUUAAAUACUGUGAGAAAUAAUUAUCUGUUGCUUAAGUUACCACCCGAUCUGUACUAUUUUGUUAUGAUGGCCUGAGCUAAGACAGUGCAUGGUAUAAUUUGAGCAUGUGCCCUAAAGGUUCAAGUGUUGAAGGAUUGGCCUUCAAAGUGGUAGCAUUGAGGUGGUAGAAAUCUUUUAGAUGUAAGUCUCAGUGCAAGGUGAUUAGGGCUGAGGGAGGCAUUGUCCUUGGAAAGGAUUAAUGCUGGUUUUACAGAGUAGUCAGUUUUUGAGAGGGUGAGUUGUUAUACAAAGAGCAAACCUGGAACCUGAAUCCCUCUUGCUUUCUGUCUCACUAUGUGAUAUCUUCCAUAUACUCUCCUGCAAUUGUUAGCAUCUUGAAAACAUCAACAAUGAUUCCUUGCCUUCGUGCUAUCCUGUGAAGCAUUAACCUUCUCUCCCUAAAUUUGAAGGAACUGUCCACCAUUUUACAUUAACAAGCCUAGGGGUUUUCAGAAUUAAGUGUGUUUCGGAAUCAUAUGUGGUGGCUGGGGGCAUUGGAAGAGGAUUUAUUAAAAUGCCAAUGCCUGAAUUCCUUCUGGAUCCACAGAAUCAGAGUUCUCAGCUGUGGUGCCCAAAUAAUGUGAGUUGAAAUCCACUCCAACUGCUUUGAACUUGACACCUCUAGGCUGAUAUUCUCUUUCACAGAUACAAUAUUCAAAAUUACUAUACUAGCAGAUAUUUCUAUAGAUGAUAAGCAUCAUUUCCAAAAACAAAUAUAUUUAAUUUAUAUAAGUGGAGGUAUGUUUAAGACAUUUUGAGAGGGGCCUAUCAGAAUACUUGUGGGGCUACUGUGACCCUCUCCAGUGUAUACAUUCUUUUUCUCCUUUGUUAACAGCAUGCUUAGUUUCCCAGUCUGACUGUUCACUCUGGGUUAGAUAGAAAAUUUGACAUCUCACAUUUUCAGGCAAUUUACUUUGCAAAUUAACACAAUAGAGAUUUAUAUUUUAAUGUUGAAAUCCUUUAAUAAAGUAAAUAAUUGUCUCUCUUUCCAGAAUAUUUGUCUUAUUACUCUGGAUGCUUAAUAAUAGGAUUAUGUGUUAUAAACAUGUGUUUAGGCAUCCAAAUAUAUGCACAAAUGGAAAAUAUCAAGCUUACAUUCCCCAAAAGUGGACACUCAUGAGGUCUUGCCUUUGUUUUCUCUAAGGACUAUCCAAAUCAGAGUUCAAUGAAGGAAGUUUACAGAAAUCUUGUCCCUAGUCUCCUAGUUUCCACCCACAGCAGGCUCUGUUUAGUGGCCUUCAGAGAAUUCUCAUGGGGGUGGAUAGGAAGUGGAUUGGGCAUGGACUUGAGCUCCUAUCUGCUGUUUGACCAAUGGAUUUUUGGAUAGACUUGUCAUGCAAAAAAUAGCUUGAUUUAUUCCCGUGUGGUAGUAGAGACAGACUCCCAGGACCCGGAUGCCCCUUAACACCCCAGAGGACAUUAUUCUGAAUAACUCAGUAAACUGAUUAGUAGAGCUACUAGGCAUGAUAAGUAUAUUCCAAAAAAAGAUCUUUUUCCAAUUACAAAAGUAGUGCAUACUCCUUGAAAAGAAUACUAGAGGGGAAGGGAGAAAUGUAGGAAAGAUAAGAAGGGAGAAAGUCCAAGCGAAGUGCUGACUUGACAGUCGAAGCCCUGUGGACUAGAACCCAGCCUUCCUUGUCGUCUGCUUUUGGGUAAGUUACACCACACGUCUGAGCAUCCUUCUCAUCUGUGAAAUGGGAACCACGUCUCUCGCAGAGUCAGGGUUUGUUAAAGCACACUCUGAGGAAGGGUUUAGUGAAAUGACUGGAGUGGAGGGAGCAGCUGUAACACUAUAUACCAGAGAGAACAGUGUUGUCAAGGCUGGUAGCAAUGGGUGGUGGUUACUGAGUAUGUCCUUACUGGGCAAGCAGACUUGACUUUGAACCCCUUUUGCUUGUCGGCAGAGUUAUUGCUAUUGGUAUUCCUAGUGUUCUAGUCAGCUUUUUCAUUGCUGUGGCUAAAAGAACUGAACAGAACAGUUUUAGGGGAAGAAAAGUUUAUGUGGGGGCUCACAGUUUCAGAGAUCUCAGUCCAUGGGCAGGAGGCUUCAUUCCUCAGGGCUCAGGGUGAGGCUGAACAUCAUGGCAGAGAGUGUGGUAGAGGAAAGUGGCUCACAUGAUGAUCAGAAAGCAGAUAAAGACUCCACUCUCCAGAUACAAAUUAGAUACCCCAUAGCUCUGCCUGCAAUGAACCACUUCCUCCAGCCACACCCCACUGUCUCAGUUUCCCACUCAAUUAAUCCCAUCAGGGAUUAAUUAGUUUACUGCUUAGGUUAAGGCUAUAACCCAAUGGUUUUGUCCUCUAAACCUUCUUGCAUUGUGUAAUGUAAGUUUUUGGGGGGAUACCACAUCUAAACCAUAUCACAUAGCAUUAAAUCUGUAUCUUUUUUUUUUUUUUUUUUGUACCAGGGGUGCUUAACCACGGAGUGACUUCCCCAGCUCUUUUUAUCUUUUGUUUUGAGACAGGGGUCUCUCUAAGUUGCUAGAGUCUCACUAAGUUCUCACUUGCAAUCCUCCUGACUCAUCCUACCGAGCUGCUGAGUGUAUCACAUUUUUUAAAGAAAUUUUUGAGCUCUCUUAAUAUUAUGAUUAUCAAAAAUAGAUUUCAAUUACGUCUGUUUUCACGAUGUAUUAACUGAAAUCUCCUAAUCCUUGCCGUAACCUUACAAGCAUUUUUCUUAGUUUGUGAGAAUGAUUAAAAAAUAAAAAAUAAAACCCUCAGAAACAAUUAAUGUUCCUAAGAAAGUAAAAAAAAAAAAUCUUUGCAGUAAUGUUUCAUUUUAUCGUCAUAUUUUUCCUGAGAAACCAAUGAAGAAUGGCAGUUUUAUAUGUAAAACAGUAGUUAGCCUUUAUACAGCUGACAUUUUUCUAAAAGCCUAGAAAUAUUUCACAUUUGAAGAAAAACACCCGGUUCCCAUGUUGGAUCCGAUUAAAAUUCAAAUCUAUAUUAACAUCUCAUUACUGUUUGAAAAAGCCAACUGCACACUAAUGGAAAAUGCCCAGUGUCUGCCAGCCCUGCUUUCCCCUGGUUCUUUAGCAAGGCUGUCCUGGGACCUGGGAGGGCGGGGCCACAGUUACAUCCUUGUUAAAACAGCAGCCUGAAUGCUGGCCCUCAGUUUUGGUUUUUCCUUCCUUUUCCCUCUUCCAUCCCUGCAUUGUUUCAGCUGCCAGUCUUGCAGUAUUUUCUUUCAUGCAAGGGAAAAGGAAGGGCAAAAAUGACUUUGAAAGAAUAACAUUUCUUUCUAUGCACUUAAAUAGAACACUCAACACAGAACAUCCUGUGUUUCCUUUUAAUGGAUGACACGCUGACUUGGUGGUGAGCUGACUAAACACCAGGGCUUGACGUUCAGAUAGGUGUUCUUGCAGUCGCACUUACCCGCUGGAGAACAUUCUGCUCGGCUAUUUUAAGUGACAAUCUGUCUUUUUCCAGGCACUCUGGUUCUUCUUAUCCCCCGAUGACUUUUCUCUGUUAUACUUAUCACCUUCUGACGUGUGUUUAUUAUGGUUUUUGUUUAUUCUCUGACUUCCCUGGUCAUAGGUAAAUAUUACAGGAGCAAGCAUCUCUGUUUUGCUAGCUGUUGGAUUCCCUCUUCUAAAAACAGGACCAGGCCCAAAGUAGGCACUUAAUAAAUAUUUGCAGCUGCAACAAAUAAACUAGUUCCUACCUCAGUGUUCUCUCCUGAACAAUUGGGGGAAAAUAAUAGAUAAAAAAUAUGUUAUGAACACAUUCUAUAAAUAUAUUUAAGCCUAGUAGAUACAUUGGAGAUUACAGGUCUAUUUGGAGUGUAGUUGAAUAAGAAAUAAAUGAGUUGGAUGAAAGAGCAACAUUCCCUUGUCACUCUGUUCUCCUACUCGGCUUUAUUUUUCUUCCAACACUGAGUCCCCACAUUCAGUAUAAUACAUAGUUCUUUGUUUUUGUCUGCCUCUCCUUAGUAAAAUGUUAAGUUUUUUUUUUUUUUUUUUUUGUAUGGGGGUGGGUACCAGGGAUUGAACUCAGGGGCACUCGACCACUGAGCCACAUCCCCAGCCCUAUUUUGUAUUUUUUUAGAGACAGGGAAUCACUGAGUUGCUUAGCACCUCUGUUUUGCUGAGGUUGGCUUUGAACUCUCAAUCCUCCUACCUCAGCCUCCAGAGCCACGGGGAUUAUAGGCAUGCGCCACAACACCCGGCCAAAUGUUAAGUUUUAUAAGGGCAGGAUCUUGGGUGUUUUGUUUCCCAUUGCUUAGGCCAGUGUGUGACACAGAGCAAGCACCAAAGACACAAAUAUGCAAAUGUUUCCGUGAGUGUAUUCACUCCGGACUGUAUCUACCCCUGACCCUGACUCGAUCAGGAUUUGUGGUGUGAUUGGUCACUAAGAUCUAGGUACUGCUGAGGCAAAUGAUGGAUGGGGAGAUGAGAAAGGAAACAAGAUGAUCAAGAUGAUACUGAUAUUUUAAGUAUUUCAAUCACAGGGACAACUAUGGGUAUGGUGGGAGAACAGACAGGACCUGGCACUUAGUAGCUGGUCAGUAACGGUUAGCUAUCAUCACCAUCAUUAUCAUAAACCACAUUAGCAUCCAGGUGUUGGCACAUUAGAGCUUAUGGGCCAAAUCCAGCCUGUGGCCUAUUCUUAUAAAUAAAGUUUUAUUGAACAUAGCUCAUUCAUUUAUUUUCUAUGAAUGUUUUCAUGUCUAUGGCUAUUUUCAUUCUAAAACAGCAGAAUUGAGUAGCUACAGAGACUGUAUGGGUUGCAAAACCCAAAAUAUUUAGCAUCUGGCCCUUUACAGAAAAGGUACUUGAACACUCAUCUAGAAUAUUGGUCUGUCUCCAAUAUAACUAAGCCUAGAGCCAAUCAGGCAUGGUCCAUGGAUAAGUUUGAUCCUCAUUCUGAAAUGGGAGUACAGAAACUAAGUAUUUACAAACUUCUAUAACAAUUUGUCAUUGAAAACCCAGUGAAUGAUUUUGGUUUAUACAAAAAUGUUGCUUUAUGACAGUUUGGAAAUUGAAAAGGAUCUGCCCUUUCCUAGAGGGAUGGGUCUGUUUUGUAAUGGGAUGUUGAUCAUAUCAGUAACUUUAGUAAGUUAUGUUCAUGUUGGUUUUAGAUGAAAACAUCUGGAAGCACAUCAGGUGGGAGUGACAAGCGUGUCUUAAGAUUGCAAGUGACCUGGGAAGGUUGAUGAACAAGCACAUUAAUAACAUCGUGAAAAUGGAUUUUCUAUGUAGAUGAAUGGCUCAGCCAGCCACAGUUCACUUACCAGCUAAUAUAGUUGUAAUGUGUUGCUUGGUAUGGAGAGAAGGCAGUCACUUUAGGGUGUUUGGGAUGUUUCAUGCACAUAUAUAAAUAAAUUCUCUUUUGGUAAGAACGUUUUAAGUUGAUAUAUCAUCUUCUUUGAAUAGCAAGUCAUCAAUUUUCCUGGAAAUCUGGUGAAACAACAGUUAUAUGACCAGCCUUAUGUUUUGUUGCAUGUGCAUGUAAACAAAAAAAGAAAGAAACAAAAGAAAAAGCCGACUGACUUUUUCCUUUUCUGUUUUAGAAUCGGUUCCAAACAGUCAAGCCUGCCAGAAAAAACAGACAAACUCUCAAGAACAACAAUGCCUAUUAUGUGUGGUGGAGGAGCCGCCAGAUUUUGAUUACCGGACAGACAUUAACUCCUUUGGUGUCUCAUGCAAGAAAUGCCAAGUCUGAAUCCAGAUAUUUUCCAGAAUAGCAUGAGAUCUGCAAUUUACAGUGUCUUCUGCAAAAAAAAAAAAAAAAAGCAACUGAGAGAAGGAAGUGCAAGUUAAAGACCACAUCUCCUGGUUUCUCGAAUUCUGCCAUGACUCUUCCUGGUAAAUGGACAGACUGAGUACCUGUGCUCUUCCUUUUGCAGGCCUUAGGUUGUGGGCCAGAAGCACGUUACUCUACCCACCUGUCCCACCUGUGUUGUCUUGAUGUCUAAAGGACUGUCACAUUCUGCCCUCAUUGAGAAAAUGCAUGGGUUCCUGGAGGCUACCUCUUACAGUAAAACUUUGAGAAAGAAGAAUCCUUGCAAACUCUGUGAUCAGCAUCUCCCCCCCCCCACCCCAAUAGACUCCCUGAAGGCUGUCAGACUCCAUCCUGCUUUGAGAUCUCAGAUAAAGCAGAGAGCAAUGCGAUUUUCAGAGGGAGGAUGAUAAUAUAAGUAUUUAGACCAUCGUGUGUAUGUAUAUCCUAUGUGUGUAUAAAUACUAUA